This is a long non-coding RNA of Clupea harengus (Atlantic herring), 1393 nucleotides long. RefSeq lists it as uncharacterized. The transcript has 3 exons. The record is from RefSeq and is a predicted model, not a curated record. Lineage: Eukaryota; Metazoa; Chordata; Actinopteri; Clupeiformes; Clupeidae.
GGGUGUGUCUGGAAAGAUGGCAUGAUGGGGUGGAGCAGGUGCGAUGCCAGUCCUCACACGUUGGGUAGAGGCCCUGAGAACAGCUUACCCAGCAGGGACUUCCUGGUGCUCCGUGCCAACUGAAAUGAUACUGAUGAUGACCAACCAUGAGCAGUGAGAGACACUAGGUUAUAACCAUGAGCAGUGACACUAGGUUAUAACCAUGAUGAGUGAGAGAGACACUAGGUUAUAACCAUGAGCAGAGACAGAGACACUAGGUUAUAACCAUGAUCAGUGACAGAGACACUAGGUUAUAACCAUGAUCAGUGAGAGAGACACUAGGUUAUAACCAUGAUCAGAGACACUAGGUUAUAACCAUGAUUAUAGAGAGAGACUAGGUUAUAAUCAUGAUCAGUGAGAGAGACACUAGGUUAUAACCAUGAUGAGAGAGAGACACUAGGUUAUAACCAUGAUCAGAGACACUAGGUUAUAACCAUGAUGAGAGAGAGAGAGACACUAGGUUAUAACCAUGAGCAGAGACACUAGGUUAUAAUCAUUAUCAGUGAGAGACACUAGGUUAUAACCAUGAUCAGGGAGAGAGAGAGAGACACUCGGUUAUAACCAUGAGCAGAGACACUAGGUUAUAACCAUGAUCAGGGAGAGAGACACUAGGUUAUAACCAUGAGCAGAGACACUAGGUUAUAACCAUGAGCAGAGACACUAGGUUAUAACCAUGAUUAGGGAGAGAGACACUAGGUUAUAACCAUGAGCAGUGAGAGAGACACUAGGUUAUAACCAUGAGCAGAGACACUAGGUUAUAACCAUGAGCAGAGACACUAGGUUAUAACCAUGAGCAGAGACACUAGGUUAUAACCAUGAUUAGGGAGAGAGACACUAGGUUAUAACCAUGAGCAGUGAGAGAGACACUAGGUUAUAACCAUGAGCAGAGACACUAGGUUAUAACCAUGAGCAGUGACAGAGACACUAGGUUAUAACCAUGAGCAGAGACAGAGAGACACUAGGUUAUUACCAUGAUCAGAGACACUAGGUUAUAACCAUGAGCAGAGACACUAGAUUAUAACCAUGAUUAGGGAGAGAGACUAGGUUAUAACCAUGAACAGUGAGAGAGACACUAGGUUAUAACCAUGAUGACUGAGAGAAAGACACUAGGUUAUAACCAAGUUUAGGGAGAGAGACACUAGGUUAUAACAAUGAGCAGUGAGUGAGAGAGACACUAGGUUAUAACCAUGAUCAGGGAGAGAGAGACACUAGGUUAUAAUCAGGUUAUAACCAUGGUGAGGAUAGGAGGCCGUGUCUAGAGCCUGGUUUAGAUCAUGUGCUAGUUCUGUUCAUGCAGUAAUAUCCCAGCAGUACAUUUCAUUUGUUUUCCAUAAAAUCUUUUUUCGUGUGUGUG